Molecule: ribosomal RNA, 841 nt
Filed under: uncultured Alphaproteobacteria bacterium
Lineage: Bacteria; Pseudomonadati; Pseudomonadota; Alphaproteobacteria
Description: bacterial SSU rRNA
Rfam family: Bacterial small subunit ribosomal RNA
Source: RNAcentral
GGAGGGGGUUAGCGUUGUUCGGAAUUACUGGGCGUAAAUUUCGCGUAGGCGGAUUAGAAAGUUGGGGGUGAAAUCCUGGAGCUCAACCUCGGAACUGCCUUCAAAACUAUAUUGUCUAGAGUUCGAGAGAGGUGAGUGGAAUUCCGAGUGUAGAGGUGAAAUUCGUAGAUAUUCGCAGGAACACCAGUGGCGAAGGCGGCUCACUGGCUCUUUACUGACGCUGAGGUGCGAAAGCUGUGGUGAGCCAACAGGAUUAGAUACCCUGGUAGUCCACACCGUAAACGAUGAAUGCCAGACUCAGUGUCGCAGCGAAAGCGAUAAACACACCGCCUGGGGAGUACGACCGCAAGGUUAAAACUCAAAUGAAUUGACGGGGACCCGCACAAGUAGUGGAGCAUGUGGUUUAAUUCGAAGAUACGCGCAGAACCUUACCAACACUUGACAUGUUCGUCGCGACUUUAAGAGAUUAGAGUUUUCGGUUCGGCCGGACGAAACACAGGUGCUGCAUGGCUGUCGUCAGCUCGUGUCGUGAGAUGUUGGGUUAAGUCCCGCAACGAGCGCAACCCUCACUUUUAGUUGCCAUCAUUUAGUUGGGCACUCUGAAAGAACUGCCAGUGAUAAGCUGGAGGAAGGUGGGGAUGACGUCAAGUCCUCAUGGCCCUUACGUGUUGGGCUACACACGUGCUACAAUGGUAUCUACAACAGGAAGCAAGACUGCGAGGUCAAGCAAAUCCUUAAAAGAUACCUCAGUUCGGAUUGCACUCUGCACCUCGAGUGCAUGAAGCUGGAAUUACUAGUAAUCGUGGAUCAGCGUGCCACGGUGAAUGCGUUCCCGGGUCUU